Long non-coding RNA from Coffea eugenioides, 930 nucleotides. RefSeq lists it as uncharacterized. The record is from RefSeq and is a predicted model, not a curated record. The transcript has 3 exons. Lineage: Eukaryota; Viridiplantae; Streptophyta; Magnoliopsida; Gentianales; Rubiaceae.
UGUUAUAAUUUUUAAAUUGUCCUGUGCACUGAUCUCAUGAUCAUUAUUGGAUUUUUUUUUUAAACUUCAAACCAGGUUUCAAAAGAGUGAAAACUAGAGAAGUAAUAUAGAUAUUACUACUGGAAUAUAGAUGUUUGCUAUCCAGAGAAGUAAUGAUGCUACUAAGAGUUUUUUUUUUCUUUUUUUUUUAUAAUACUGCAUGUCAUAAGCAUCUGCUAUGUCCUAUGAAGGAAUUAUGUCAUUGCACGUGUUAGAGUUUGCUGGGUUUUAACAAGUAGAAGAAUCAAAAUGUUACAUAAAUUCAAUUGUAGUACUUGUUAUUUGCAUAGAAUGGUAAUUUUUGCCAUACUAUAAAAAAUACUGUUCUGAGAGUGUAUGACCUUUUUAGAAAGUUGGAAGGAGAGAACUGCAAUUGGAGUUUUGGUGUUUAAAUUCGAUUUAAAUAUGAAUUGCAAACUCCUCUCACUACUAAAAUCUAUCUAUUGGCUAUGUGCAACUUCUCUCUGAGACCAAUAGUCCAUCGCAAAAGAGUGAAAAGCUUUACCUUCUAACUGUUGGUUGUUAUAGAAGUGGUGAGCAUUCAAGAAGCCUGCAGCUUGUAUAGAAAUGUUUGGAGAUUAAACUUGAUUGGAGGUAGGCUUUGUACCUUGAGAAGGCAGUAAAAGAACAAAUUACAAAAGAUGGUGUCAUUGGAAUUGGCAUUUCAGUUACUGCUGUGGUACUUAUAGCUGGUGGAAUUAUAACUGCAUUAGCUAGCAGAAAAUCAUGACGACGGAUUGUUAUUUUAAGAGUAAUUUCCCUGAUUUGCGGUUCCCAAUCUUCGAAGAUGAUGCAUUUUAACCCUGCUAACUAUGAACUGAUGUCCUUUCUAUUACUUUUAGUUGAAGUUAAGACUUUGUAAAUAUAUAUUUCAAUAGAUUUCAUAUGGUA